GUUUUGUAACGCUCGUGAUGAGACCUCA
Molecule: ribosomal RNA, 28 nt
Filed under: Medicago lanigera
Lineage: Eukaryota; Viridiplantae; Streptophyta; Magnoliopsida; Fabales; Fabaceae
Also listed under: 3 other names
Description: partial 28S ribosomal RNA
Source: RNAcentral